RNAcentral lists this ribosomal RNA (253 nucleotides) under uncultured bacterium. RNAcentral describes it as "partial 16S ribosomal RNA". It matches the Rfam family "Bacterial small subunit ribosomal RNA", at positions 524 to 776 of the family's 1533-position model. The record is from RNAcentral.
UACGUAGGGGGGGAGCGUUGUCCGGAAUGACUGGGCGUAAAGGGAGUGUAGGCGGCUCUUUAAGUUAUAUGUGAAAUCCCGCGGCUUAACCGUGGAAGUGCAUAUAAAACUGGGGAGCUGGAGUGCAGGAGAGGUGAGUGGAAUUCCUAGUGUAGCGGUGGAAUGCGUAGAUAUUAGGAAGAACACCGGUGGCGAAGGCGGCUCACUGGACUGUAACUGACGCUGAGGCUCGAAAGCGUGGGGAGCAAACAGG